This 2297-nucleotide ribosomal RNA is filed under the name Axonchoides smokyensis. RNAcentral's name for it is "SSU rRNA". The stretch from base 1 to 1661 matches the Rfam family "Eukaryotic small subunit ribosomal RNA". The record is from RNAcentral. Lineage: Eukaryota; Metazoa; Nematoda; Enoplea; Dorylaimida; Belondiridae.
ACUGCGGCAAUUCUAGAGCUAAUACAUGCAACAAAGCUCUGCCCGCAAGGAACGAGCGCAUUUAUUAGAAUAAAAACCAAUCGGGCUUCGGCCCGUAAUUUGGUGAAUCUGAAUAACUUUGCCAAUCGCACAGUCCUAGUACUGGCGAUGUAUCUUUCAAGUGUCUGCCUUAUCAACUUUCGAUGGUAGGCUAUACGCCUACCAUGGUAGUAACGGGUAACGGAGAAUAAGGGUUCGACUCCGGAGAGGGAGCCUGAGAAACGGCUACCACAUCCAAGGAAGGCAGCAGGCGCGCAAAUUACCCACUUCCAGAACGGAGAGGUAGUGACGAAAAAUAACGAGACAGUCCUCUUCGAGGUCUGUCAUCGGAAUGGGUACAAUUUAAAUCCUUUAACGAGGAUCUAUUGGAGGGCAAGUCUGGUGCCAGCAGCCGCGGUAAUUCCAGCUCCAAUAGCGUAUAUUAAAGUUGUUGCGGUUAAAACGCUCGUAGUUGGAUCUGCGGCCGCGGAGAACGGUCCCCCGAAAGGGCGGUCACUGUCUCUCCUAGCCUAAAUUCGAGUCGUCCCUAGGUGCUCUUUAUUGAGUGCUUAGGGGUGACUAGAACGUUUACUUUGAAAAAAUUAGAGUGCUUAAAGCAGGCGAAAUAGCCUGAAUAAGGGCAUGGAAUAAUGGAAUAGGACCUCGGUUCUAUUUUGUUGGUUUUCGGAGCCCGAGGUAAUGAUUAAGAGGAACAAACGGGGGCAUUCGUAUUCCGGCGCUAGAGGGAAAAUUCUUGGGACGCCAGAAGACGGACAACUGCAAAGCAUUUGCCAAGAAUGUUUUCAUUAAUCAAGAACGAAAGUUAGAGGUUCGAAGGCGAUCAGAUACCGCCCUAGUUCUAACCGUAAACGAUGACAACCAGCGAUUAAUCGGCGUUAAUAUAUGACCCGAUUAGCAGCUUCCGGGAAACCAAAGUUUUUCGUUUCCGGGGGAAGUAUGGUUGCAAAGCUGAAACUUAAAGGAAUUGACGGAAGGGCACCACCAGGAGUGGAGCCUGCGGCUUAAUUUGACUCAACACGGGAAAACUCACCCGGCCCGGACACCGUAAGGAUUGACAGACUGAGAGCUCUUUCUUAAUUCGGUGGGUGGUGGUGCAUGGCCGUUCUUAGUUGGUGGAGCGAUUUGUCUGGUUAAUUCCGAUAACGAACGAGACUCUGGCCUAUUAAAUAGACGGUAUAUUAAAAAGUAUAUCGCACUUCUUAGAGGGACAAGCGGCGUCUAGCCGCAUGAAAUAGAGCAAUAACAGGUCUGUGAUGCCCUUAGAUGUCCGGGGCUGCACGCGCGCUACACUGAAAGAAUCAGUGUGCAUUGUGCCUAGUUCGGAAGAACCGGGUAACCCAAGUAAAUUCUUUCGUGCUUGGGAUAGGGAAUUGCAAUUAUUUCCCUUAAACGAGGAAUUCCCAGUAAAUGCGGGUCAUAAGCUCGCGUUGAUUACGUCCCUGCCCUUUGUACACACCGCCCGUCGCUACUACCGAUUGGAUGACUUAGUGAGGUCUUAGGACCGAGGUCAAGGGUGCUUUAACGAGUGCUUUUUGCUUUGGAAAUUUGAUCGAACUACGUUAUCUAGAGGAAGUAAAAGUCGUAACAAGGUUUCCGUAGGUGAACCUGCGGAAGGAUCAUUACCGAGCUAAACAAACGAGAAAACGCGCGUGCUUAUGAAAUACUGACACGGGUCGGAAAGUACUUAUGUACGUAUGCCCGUUGAAGUUAAAGUACCCGUGUAAGUCUGAUUACGUACCGGUGCGAAUGCGGUAAGGCGCCAAAAAGCGCGACUCCGUCUCCGGCUACAAGCGGACAAUGUAAUACGUAUGUAAUUAUGUAUUGCAUACAGACGCCCUGGAACCCAGUCUGGAGUGGUAAGAGUCCAGCUGGAUUCUUCUCGGGUACCUGUCGAUACUAGCGUUACAGUUAUUCGUCGGGGUGUAAAGGAAAUACGUUAGUCUCGAAGAUCUAAAUACCCACUAGUGGCUGCUCUUGAAAAUUAAUCACAAGUCGAAAAAUAGCGAGUCACUAGUCGGGAUCGGAAGGUUUAAAGAGUCACUUGGCGAUUCUAGCGGCUGGUCGAAAAGUAUAAAGCACCACGUACCACACCGGAAAAGAGUAGUACGGUCUCCUUAUUAUUUACCGGGCUCGGAGGUGUGAAACGCUCGGGUGACCACAAGAAAAAAACAUGAAAUUACACUAUUAGUUUCUCUUCGCGCACCCCUUCAUAUUUUGGAGCGAUAAAAAAGCGGAUUCUGAGUCGCGGUUCGAUUCAA